RNAcentral lists this ribosomal RNA (253 nucleotides) under uncultured bacterium. RNAcentral describes it as "partial 16S ribosomal RNA". It matches the Rfam family "Bacterial small subunit ribosomal RNA", at positions 524 to 776 of the family's 1533-position model. The record is from RNAcentral.
UACGAAGGGGGCUAGCGUUGUUCGGAAUUAUUGGGCGUAAAGGGCGCGUAGGCGGCUUGACAAGUGGCGGGUGAAAUCCCUCGGCUUAACCGAGGAACUGCCUGCCAGACUGUCUUGCUUGAGACCGGGAGAGGUGAGUGGAAUUCCCAGUGUAGCGGUGAAAUGCGUAGAUAUUGGGAGGAACACCAGUGGCGAAGGCGGCUCACUGGACCGGAACUGACGCUGAGGCGCGAAAGCGUGGGGAGCAAACAGG